AGGCUUUGGAAGAGGAGGUUGUUGUGUUAGUAUUGCCAUGGGUAGUGUUAUGAGCCUGGUGAUAGUGUGACAAGGCUUUGGAAGAGGAGGUUGUUGUGUUAGUAUUGCCAUGGGUAGUGUUAUGAGCCGAGUGAUAGUGUGACAAGGCUUUGGUAGAGGAGGUUGUUGUGUUAGUAUUGCCAUGGGUAGUGUUAUGAGCCUGGUGAUAGUGUGACAAGGCUUUGGUGGAGGAGGUUGUUGUGUUAGUAUUGCCAUGGGUAGUGUUAUGAGCCUAGUGAUAGUGUGACAAGGCUUUGGUAGAGGAGGUUGUUGUGUUAGUAUUGCCAUGGGUAGUGUUAUGAGCCUGGUGAUAGUGUGACAAGGCUUUGGUAGAGGAGGUUGUUGUGUUAGUAUUGCCAUGGGUAGUGUUAUGAGCCUGGUGAUAGUGUGACAAGGCUUUGGUGGAGGAGGUUGUUGUGUUAGUAUUGCCAUGGGUAGUGUUAUGAGCCUGGUGAUAGUGUGACAAGGCUUUGGUAGAGGAGGUUGUUGUGUUAGUAUUGCCAUGGGUAGUGUUAUGAGCCUGGUGAUUGUGUGACAAGGCUUUGGUAGAGGAGGUUGUUGUGUUAGUAUUGCCAUGGGUAGUGUUAUGAGCCUGGUGAUAGUGUGACAAGGCUUUGGUGGAGGAGGUUGUUGUGUUAGUAUUGCCAUGGGUAGUGUUAUGAGUCUGGUGAUAGUGUGACAAGGCUUUGG
Long non-coding RNA from Eriocheir sinensis (Chinese mitten crab), 729 nucleotides. RefSeq lists it as uncharacterized. The record is from RefSeq and is a predicted model, not a curated record. The transcript is spliced from 4 exons. NCBI's taxonomy places the organism in Eukaryota, Metazoa, Arthropoda, Malacostraca, Decapoda, Varunidae.